RNAcentral lists this ribosomal RNA (253 nucleotides) under uncultured bacterium. RNAcentral's name for it is "partial 16S ribosomal RNA". It matches the Rfam family "Bacterial small subunit ribosomal RNA", at positions 524 to 776 of the family's 1533-position model. The record is from RNAcentral.
UACGUAGGGUGCAAGCGUUGUCCGGAAUUAUUGGGCGUAAAGGGCUCGUAGGCGGUUUGUCGCGUCUGCUGUGAAAAUCCAGGGCUUAACCCUGGACCUGCAGUGGGUACGGGCAGACUGGAGUGCGGUAGGGGAGAUCGGAAUUCCUGGUGUAGCGGUGAAAUGCGCAGAUAUCAGGAGGAACACCGGUGGCGAAGGCGGAUCUCUGGGCCGUAACUGACGCUGAGGGGCGAAAGCAUGGGGAGCGAACAGG